Molecule: long non-coding RNA, 852 nt
Filed under: Linum usitatissimum (flax)
Lineage: Eukaryota; Viridiplantae; Streptophyta; Magnoliopsida; Malpighiales; Linaceae
Description: long non-coding RNA (LUSI_LNC005904)
Source: RNAcentral
GACAGAAAACUUUUUUUUUCAAAAAUUUCCGGCCUUGAAUUUAAGUUAGCAUUUACAACAUAUGGAAGAAGAGAAACUAAUAUAAUUCAAUCUUUUUUGUUCCAGUGAUGUAAACAAAGAUGAAAACAUAUGAUUCUAAUUAGUUUUUGAAGAUCUACAUAAAAAGAAUAUAGAUGUAGAAUAAAACAAAACAUAAAAAUAUUUAACGGUUGAUCUAACAUUUUUCAUCUUUUUAUGGAUCUAGAGCAAUAAAAAUAAAAAAAAAAUUAAAGGCUCGACAAAUAAAGCUCAUGUUUCUUCUUUUCCCUCUUCUUCUCCUUCUUCUUCUUUGUCUUUUUCUCUUUUUGUCUUUUUCUUAAUCUUCAACUUCAUCUUCUUCUUCACUUCAUUUUUCAUUCUUCUUCUUCAUCUUUUUCUUCUUCCUCUCUAAAAAUAUUUUCUUCAUCUGCCUAUCCUUUUUUUUCUUGAAACAACCAUCAUCAUUUUCUCUUUUUUUUAGUUGUGCAAAAAUCUAAAGAUUGAAAUUUAAAAGAGAGGGAUAAAAUUUAAGUAGAUAAUAGAAAGUUUUGGAGAGUAAAAAGUUUGAAAAGAUGAAAAAGAAGAAGAAAGGGAUAGGAAGUUUUUAUGGAUUUCAAUCAAGGGUUAUGAUCAAAUGAGAUGACAAUCCAUUUCUUCACUUAUGAGUUAAUGAAAAGAAGGCAUUUAUUAAUUUACAUUCCGUUCUGGCGGUUCCGUUUUCGCGGUUAUGAACCCCUAGAACAUAUGACAGAAAUAUUUGACGGAACAAGUUCCUCCAAGCGCACUAAUCUUUUUAAAACAAAUCAAACUCUAUUUUCGAGGUUCCGUUCUAGC